RNAcentral lists this ribosomal RNA (497 nucleotides) under uncultured bacterium. Its description in RNAcentral is "partial 16S ribosomal RNA". It matches the Rfam family "Bacterial small subunit ribosomal RNA", at positions 28 to 507 of the family's 1533-position model. The record is from RNAcentral.
GAUGAACGCUGGCGGCGUGCCUAAUACAUGCAAGUCGAGCGAACAGACGAGGAGCUUGCUCCUCUGACGUUAGCGGCGGACGGGCGAGUAACACGUGGAUAACCUACCUAUAAGACUGGGAUAACUUCGGGAAACCGGAGCUAAUACCGGAUAAUAUAUUGAACCGCAUGGUUCAAUAGUGAAAGACGGUUUUGCUGUCACUUAUAGAUGGAUCCGCGCCGCAUUAGCUAGUUGGUAAGGUAACGGCUUACCAAGGCAACGAUGCGUAGCCGACCUGAGAGGGUGAUCGGCCUCACUGGAACUGAGACACGGUCCAGACUCCUACGGGAGGCAGCAGUAGGAAAUCUUCCGCAAUGGGCGAAAGCCUGACGGAGCAACGCCGCGUGAGUGAUGAAGGUCUUCGGAUCGUAAAACUCUGUUAUUAGGGAAGAACAAAUGUGUAAGUAACUAUGCACGUCUUGACGGUACCUAAUCAGAAAGCCACGGCUAACUACGUG